This 253-nucleotide ribosomal RNA is filed under the name uncultured Modestobacter sp. RNAcentral's name for it is "partial 16S ribosomal RNA". It matches the Rfam family "Bacterial small subunit ribosomal RNA", at positions 524 to 776 of the family's 1533-position model. The record is from RNAcentral. Lineage: Bacteria; Bacillati; Actinomycetota; Actinomycetes; Geodermatophilales; Geodermatophilaceae.
UACGUAGGGUGCAAGCGUUGUCCGGAAUUAUUGGGCGUAAAGAGCUCGUAGGCGGCUUGUCACGUCGGAUGUGAAAACCCGAGGCUCAACCUCGGGCCUGCAUUCGAUACGGGCUAGCUAGAGUACUGCAGGGGAGACUGGAAUUCCUGGUGUAGCGGUGAAAUGCGCAGAUAUCAGGAGGAACACCGGUGGCGAAGGCGGGUCUCUGGGCAGUAACUGACGCUGAGGAGCGAAAGCGUGGGGAGCGAACAGG